UCACCCACCCGUUGUAUUAUCCACGCGUUGUAUUACCCACGCGUUGUAUCACCCACAUAUUGCAUCGCCCACGCGUUGUAUCACUACGCAUUGUAUCUCCAACGCUCUGUAUCAUCUACCCAUAGUACCACCCACAUAUUGUAUCGCCCACGCGUUGUAUACGCUUCGCAUUGUACCCUAUCUGCAUCCUACUCAUAGUACCAACCGCGUACUAUACCACUACUGUAUAAUGAAGAUCACCGUAAGUGCCUAUAGAAGACACCUGCACCAUUGAGUGGCUAAGAUCACAUGGCAUCGAUAAUCAGCGUCCGCAAUCGCCGUGAACAAAUAUAGCUCAGAAGACGGGUCGUAACCGGAAGUUCAAAGAGGAUCGAUCGGAAGUUCUUAAUGGCAAGCGAACACCGGGUCAGUAAACAGUAGACACUUUAAUGUCAUCGGAAUGGCAGUAUCGAUUACGGUGUUCAAGCGUGGUAAUUAAAGUCCCAUGGAUGUUGGCUCUCUGAGUCAUCGUGACCCACAAUUACAGGUCGGUGCGGUGACAUUCAGUGAAAGAGGAUGACAUUAUCUGGGGUCAUUAAAUCAUCGGGUGUAAAACCGCUGAUAAAGAUAGAGAUAUCGAUUUUCAAGGUAAAAGGACGAAAUUAAUUUUGUGAGAUGUACCGAUAUCGUAUGGAGUGGAACAUCCGCAGAUUUCCGACUUCCUUCAAGUAAAUUAGCGCACAACAAUGGGCCAGAGUAAAAUCGACCAAGCGUGUGUGUACUCUUUCGGGUCAAAGUUCAUGCUUGGUGGAACAUCACAGAAACAGAGAAGAAAAGAGUACAAUUGUUCAGAGACGUAAAACAAAAUGGCGGACUGGUACCAAAACUUGAGACGUCAGAGUUCCCGUUGGUUCCAGACAUCAAUCAACGCUAUAAACUCUUAGACAAAGAAGAAACAAAGAAGUUUCACGCGUUUUUUGGCUCAGCAUCGUUAGGGACGCGGUCCCCGCCAUGUUCUAUUCCCACUGUCAUCAGAAUCCCUGUUCUAUUUCACACGAGUGACGCGAUCCAGUAUCAAGAAAGGCGAGCCGCGUUGGACGGAAGCGGAUAUUAGAAAACCUCGGAUUCGAGGCUGUUUUUCCGCCUCUGUCGUCAGACUGACGAAUCAACGUCAAUAAUAUAUCACGACGGAUCUCGGCCUCGAUUCCUUCAAGGAUAAGGUCUCUCGAAUCCCGGGAGAGCUCUCGAUUACUUUCGCCAUUCUAAACGUGCUCGAAUUUCUAAGAAGACCGUUUUCUUCCCUCGUUUGACGCGAUCGACGCUAGAGAGAAAUUCGUGGGAAUCGCAGCCAUUCCGCGAUUUCUCGCGAUACUCAAAAGUUUGCAUUCUCAGUUUGUACGAAAUUCGAGGUGUUUUAUCAAGGUUAAAGAAGAGAGGACCUUGAUUGAAUAUUCUUGAACCUCAAGAAGGUGAAUUAGCUGUCAGCAAAUUACUUAUAGAAACCGUUCUAAGGUUGCACAAUUUCAAUUGAUCCGCUGAACCUUGACAUAGUAUAUUUGCUUUCAACGUACAAGCUAAGUGUAUAUUUUAUAAGAAAAAGAAGAAGAGGAGAAAAAUUAUUGGAACUCACCAGAGUUUCAUAAAGCACAGCUGCUAAUUCCUCAAAGUAAAAGUAACUUCUGAUUUAUCUUGGAACACUGACUGAAUAUGGAUCGAGAACUUCACGAGCACGAAUUCUUCGGUCACGAUCGUGCAGAGGUUCGCUCGGAACUGGGGAACACGAUCAACUGGCACGUCAAUGAAAGAACGCCGGGGAAUCGCCGCCGCUCGUUCGAGCAUCGCCUGCACGUGCGCGUGCAACACGCACGCGUGUACACCAAUGUGACGGCUCAGACACUUCGAGUUUGGAACGCGUUAAUGUUGGAAGACUUCGAAAGGCCUCAAACUCAAAGCAUCUCAAAUCUGAAGCUGCUGGAACUCGAAUCGCCUCAAGUUUGAAACAUCCUCACCGCUUAAAACUCUAUAACCUAAACAAUAUCAGCGUAUCCUGUGGCAACGCCUCUUCCGAGCUCUUCUGCGACCGUACAGAGCUAGACGAAGUAGUAGAAUUAGUAGCCUCUUCGAA
Long non-coding RNA from Megachile rotundata (alfalfa leafcutting bee), 2104 nucleotides. The record is from RefSeq and is a predicted model, not a curated record. NCBI's taxonomy places the organism in Eukaryota, Metazoa, Arthropoda, Insecta, Hymenoptera, Megachilidae.